UUUAAUUAGUUAUCUUUUGCUCACUUAAUUAAUUCUAAAAUUAAUUCUUGAUCAAACUAAUUAAAUAAUAUUAUUAAUAUAGUAGAAUUUAUUAUAUAUUAAUAAACCACAAGUGUUAUUUCUCUCAUUUAGUCUAUCCAAUUGCAUGGUGCCAUGCAACCCAAAUGGACCAUGCCGGGUCGGGUCAAGUACAUACCAAAAGUAGUUAUGGACUUAGACACCUUAUCCAACAGUCUCCUACUUGGAUAAGNCCAACAGUCUUACUUGGAUAAGUCUAAUAACUAUAACUGCAAAU
Molecule: long non-coding RNA, 295 nt
Filed under: Lactuca sativa (garden lettuce)
Lineage: Eukaryota; Viridiplantae; Streptophyta; Magnoliopsida; Asterales; Asteraceae
Description: long non-coding RNA (LSAT_LNC005294)
Source: RNAcentral